AGAGUUUGAUCCUGGCUCAGGAUGAUUUCUAGCGGCAGGCUUAACACAUGCAAGUCGAGGGGCAGCGGGGAGGAAGCUUGCUUUCUCCGCCGGCGACCGGCGCACGGGUGAGUAACACGUAUGCAACCUGCCCCUGUCAGGGGGACAACCCGCCGAAAGGCGGGCUAAACCCGCGUACAUGCCACCGGGGCAUCCCGGAGGCAGGAAAGGCUUCGGCCGGACAGGGAUGGGCAUGCGGCGCAUUAGGCAGUAGGCGGGGUAACGGCCCACCUAACCGACGAUGCGUAGGGGUUCUGAGAGGAAGGUCCCCCACACUGGUACUGAGACACGGACCAGACUCCUACGGGAGGCAGCAGUGAGGAAUAUUGGUCAAUGGUCGGGAGACUGAACCAGCCAAGCCGCGUGAGGGAGGAAGGUACAGAGUAUCGUAAACCUCUUUUGUCAGGGAACAAAGGCGGGGACGUGUCCCCGGAUGAGUGUACCUGAAGAAAAAGCAUCGGCUAACUCCGUGCCAGCAGCCGCGGUAAUACGGAGGAUGCGAGCGUUAUCCGGAUUUAUUGGGUUUAAAGGGUGCGCAGGCGGUCUGUUAAGUCAGCGGUCAAAGCCCGGGGCUCAACCCCGGCCCGCCGUUGAAACUGGCAGUCUCGAGUUGGAGAGAAGUAUGCGGAAUGCGCGGUGUAGCGGUGAAAUGCAUAGAUAUCGCGCAGAACUCCGAUUGCGAAGGCAGCAUGCCGGCUCCACACUGACGCUGAGGCACGAAAGCGUGGGUAUCGAACAGGAUUAGAUACCCUGGUAGUCCACGCAGUAAACGAUGAAUGCUGGCUGUCCGGGGGGAUUGACCCCUGGGUGGCGAAGCGAAAGCGAUAAGCAUUCCACCUGGGGAGUACGCCGGCAACGAUGAAACUCAAAGGAAUUGACGGGGGCCCGCACAAGCGGAGGAACAUGUGGUUUAAUUCGAUGAUACGCGAGGAACCUUACCCGGGCUCAAACGGGGAGUGACUCAGGCAGAGACGCCUGUUUCCCACGGGACACUCCCCGAGGUGCUGCAUGGUUGUCGUCAGCUCGUGCCGUGAGGUGUCGGCUUAAGUGCCAUAACGAGCGCAACCCCCGCGUGCAGUUGCUAACAGAUAACGCUGAGGACUCUGCACGGACUGCCGGCGCAAGCCGCGAGGAAGGCGGGGAUGACGUCAAAUCAGCACGGCCCUUACGUCCGGGGCGACACACGUGUUACAAUGGGUGGUACAGCGGGAAGCCAGGCGGCGACGCCGAGCGGAACCCGAAAUCCACUCUCAGUUCGGAUCGGAGUCUGCAACCCGACUCCGUGAAGCUGGAUUCGCUAGUAAUCGCGCAUCAGCCAUGGCGCGGUGAAUACGUUCCCGGGCCUUGCACACACCGCCCGUCA
RNAcentral lists this ribosomal RNA (1402 nucleotides) under uncultured bacterium. Its description in RNAcentral is "16S ribosomal RNA". It matches the Rfam family "Bacterial small subunit ribosomal RNA". The record is from RNAcentral.